Molecule: ribosomal RNA, 610 nt
Filed under: Bacillus sp. L14 (2010)
Lineage: Bacteria; Bacillati; Bacillota; Bacilli; Caryophanales; Bacillaceae
Description: bacterial SSU rRNA
Rfam family: Bacterial small subunit ribosomal RNA
Source: RNAcentral
ACGCUGGCGGCGUGCCUAAUACAUGCAAGUCGAGCGAAUGGAUUAAGAGCUUGCUCUUAUGAAGUUAGCGGCGGACGGGUGAGUAACACGUGGGUAACCUGCCCAUAAGACUGGGAUAACUCCGGGAAACCGGGGCUAAUACCGGAUAACAUUUUGAACCGCAUGGUUCGAAAUUGAAAGGCGGCUUCGGCUGUCACUUAUGGAUGGACCCGCGUCGCAUUAGCUAGUUGGUGAGGUAACGGCUCACCAAGGCAACGAUGCGUAGCCGACCUGAGAGGGUGAUCGGCCACACUGGGACUGAGACACGGCCCAGACUCCUACGGGAGGCAGCAGUAGGGAAUCUUCCGCAAUGGACGAAAGUCUGACGGAGCAACGCCGCGUGAGUGAUGAAGGCUUUCGGGUCGUAAAACUCUGUUGUUAGGGAAGAACAAGUGCUAGUUGAAUAAGCUGGCACCUUGACGGUACCUAACCAGAAAGCCACGGCUAACUACGUGCCAGCAGCCGCGGUAAUACGUAGGUGGCAAGCGUUAUCCGGAAUUAUUGGGCGUAAAGCGCGCGCAGGUGGUUUCUUAAGUCUGAUGUGAAAGCCCACGGCUCAACCGUGGAGGGU